This is a long non-coding RNA of Triticum dicoccoides, 345 nucleotides long. RefSeq lists it as uncharacterized. The record is from RefSeq and is a predicted model, not a curated record. The transcript has 3 exons. NCBI's taxonomy places the organism in Eukaryota, Viridiplantae, Streptophyta, Magnoliopsida, Poales, Poaceae.
UUUCUUCUGAAAUUGACUCAAAUUAUGAUAUUAUGUACAGAAGGGCACAAUGAUGAAUUGAACGCAAGAUCCUGCUGGUGAUCCAACAGACGCAAACACAUCAGAUGCCUAAGAAAAGGACUGGCAAAUAAAAUAGGAAUCCAAACUUGCAAAAGUCUCUUUUACAGACCGCUAGUACUAGUGGGACUCUAGGUACAAGGCACAGUGUAAUUGCUCCAAAUACGCUCAUACAAGUUGCAACAAUGAAUUCUCGAAUGUUUCGAGCAAUGGAUCCAAAGAUUUAGCUGGAAUGGACUCUAGACCACGGACAAUUUAUAUCUUCGCUCUUAAUUAGGAUGGCACAUU